Molecule: long non-coding RNA, 3799 nt
Organism: Manis pentadactyla (Chinese pangolin)
Lineage: Eukaryota; Metazoa; Chordata; Mammalia; Pholidota; Manidae
Exons: 2
Source: RefSeq, a predicted model, not a curated record
GCCACAGUUGAGCUGUGUGCUUUUAGAUUGCAGUUGAACACCAGUCUGUAGGGUUCCCUAAACUCCCCAAGACGUAUAAAUUCUCAAAUGGGCUCCAGGAAGGGAGCUGGGAUUUGGCCCAGUUCUUUCUAAAGAAAUCUUCUCUUCCUCCCUCUUCUACCUCAACUCUUAGCCAGGAGUGGGGUGGAAGUAAGGGUCACAGACAGGUGUGAGAUCAACUCUUUUGCUAGUGCUGAAUACAUGGGCCAUCACUUCACUUUGGAAUACGGGAGCACUUUGCCAUCUCCUAAAUCCUUUUUGGGCCAGAGGCAGAAUCGAUUGGACAGCAUUCCAGCUACAGAAUUGUUUUACUAGCAAGUGCUCAAUGGAAGGAAUCGGUUAGAAUCUACCAUUAUGAGCCGAGAAGGGUUAUGCGGCUCUCGGAGCAGCUCUAAGCAGCUAGAGCGCCCAUGACAGCACCAGCAAGCCGAGAGGGCCAAAGCGCUCACUGGGCUCCACUCUGCCUGAUGCCUGAGGUUAGAGAGCAGGGUCUUCUGAAGCCCUCAACCUCCCCCACCCCUGCUGACCUCCUUCCCUCUCAGGCAGCCCCUGCACCCUAUCUGGGGCCCCUCUCCACCAGCAUCAGCCCUGGCUGCAGCCUGGAGGGGUUGCUUCUGGGAGAGAUGGUACUGUAAGAGGCACCCUCCAGCCCGCUGCCGAGUAGCUGCGGACCUCAGCGCUGCCACCCCGGCCACAUCGGCCAGCCACACUUCUCUUGGAAACCACAGACGCUUCUUGCUUCAAUCGAGUGGCAAGAGCCCUCACUUGCUCAGAAGUCCCAUGGCCCAGGCACAGAAUAUUUGUGCCUCCUCUCACCGAGGCAACCCUGGCUAAGAUCAUGAAAUGAAGGAGAUGCUGUUUGUGAGGUGCUUGUGACCACCGUGGGGUGGGGGGUGGGGGGCAUCUCAUGUAUGUAGUCAGGAUGUAAAUUGGCACCUUUCCAGAAAGUCGUUCAGAAUGUGUAUCAAGAGCAGGAAGAGAAUUUGUACCUUUUGACUGAGAGGUUCUAUUUGAGCAUCUUCCAUUUCGGGGGCAGUCUGUAACAGAGGGAGUUCUGUCUGUCAUGGGGAGUCCACUUGCAUUAAGGGGAAUCCUUUGAUGUAGCUUCUUCUGGAUCCCAUGGGAUUUGCUGCUUUAAUAACAUGUAACCCUUCUUUGGUCCAGUCAUGUGUUGACCAGAGAUGGUAUAGACAGUCCAGGUGGAUUUUAGGCUGUGUAACUGGACAAUGUUGUCUAAGGGGACCUGUUCCCAAAAGAUACAUGGUUCUCAAAAGGACACUGGUGUGGUGCUGGGUGCAUAAAAAUUUGAGGGUGGAGCCUCUAAAAAAGGAAAUUGUAUGAGCCCUUUCCUCCUACUCUGAUCCAAUAAGUCUUGGUGGUUUCCAGAAAUAUCUAUUUUUAGAAUGCUUCCUCGUAGAUUCUGAUGCUUCUAGAGGUUAAAGAACCACAGUGUAAACUGUAAUCUAGAAUAGUCCAUUUUGCUUUUAGAUUUAUUUUCUUAUUUUCAUGGGAAUAUUGUAUGUCACACAGGAUUUAGGCAUUCAAAAAAUAUCUGAAAUACCAAACAGGCAUUCUUAUCAAAAAGUUGUAAGAAGUGUAAUUACAAAAGAUACUAGGUAGCCCCUACACCACUUUUAAGUACAUGCACUGCAUAUAUAGAGAAAUCUAGAAUGACUUCAAUAUGCAAAAGUGUUCCUUGCGCUCACAAGCCAAGUGUGGGCAUUACUUCCUUACCUGGGGUCAUGUGAGGUGGGUGUAUGUUUCAAUGCUCACCUUCCCAGCACUUCUGAGAUUCCACAAAAGGAUAAGAUGUUAGAAGCACCUCGAAGUGAUUUUCAUUUCUGUUGAAAUGGGUAUAUGUUUCAAUGCUCACCUUCCAGGCACUGUCUGUUCUCCAUUCUGCCUGCAGUUCAGUUAGUAAAUCAGGGCUGCAAGUCUUCAUUUAGGUAGAUAUCUAUUUGGUAGGAGGUGUUUUUAACUUUGCCUGCUGGUUCUCAAAAUGUACUGGAUAUUCGAAUCACCAAACUUCAAAACCAAAUUCCUGGAUGCACUGACUAAUCCCAUCAGUCUCAGGGUGGAGGCAUGAUUCUAGGUAGUGAUGUUUUUGAAGUCCACAGCAUGGUGCAGCAUGGUUGAGAAUUAUUGUGCCUAACUCUGCCUGAGGUAAGAAAAGCAGUGUAGCAGGAACCUUCAUUGAAAAGUCAGGAGAAAAAGAUUUCCCUUGCACCCUAUCUCCAUUCAUGGUUUCAUGAUUACUUUGUGCCUGUUCUUCCGUGAUGUGUUUUCCUUUUUUUGUUUUCACAGCCUUUAAGUAUUCCCCGUGGGUCUGUACCUGUACUAAAAUGUUACUACAUUCAGAAACUCCAAACAUUCUUACUGCUAAAAUAAAAUAAUCUACUUGAAGUUCCUGACAUUUAGAAGGUUCUUGAUAAAUGAUGGCCAUUCUAUCCCAGGUUACAAAAAAACCCAUUUUCCCUCAGAGUCUGGCCAUGUGGCCCCCAGUUACCCAGGAUGCUUUUAAAAAUGGACGUCCUGGUCUCUGCCCAUACUUGGAAAUCAGAAUCUCUGGAUGGUGGUUCCAUGAAUCUGGAUAUUUUAACAAGUUCCUUGGUGGUGCUUGUACCAUAAAGUUGGGCCACACUUGUGGCCAAACUCAAGUCACAAGAUCAACCCAGAUUCAAGGAGAUGCAGAAAUAAAUGCUGCCUCUUGAUGAGAGAAGUCAUAAAGUCACAUUCCUAGGGCUGUGGAUGCACAGAGGACAGGAAUUGGUGCCAUCUAAGCAAAUGACCUACCAUGUGCAUUACCUGAACUUUGAGUGCUGAGGUGAUGCACAGCUAGAAGGCACAAUGCUCUGACAGCUCUCGAUGGGGCGCUGGGCCCCAGAAGGACCUGUGUGCACUGACACCAGGGUGAGUCCUCAUACAGCAAGUCUGCUUCCAGUAUCUCACACUGACAGCCUGAUGCACAUCCUCAAGGCAGAUAUGCAAAAGUGUUCAGGAAAUUGUUCAAGAUACUCAGAAAAUUGCCCAAAGAAGGAGUUACAGGAGCAGGCCAGUGCAAGAGGGAGAAUUAAGAAGGCUCUGAUCCUGUGUUCAAUGCCCCUUUCCCAUUCUAUAUUACUAUUUUGAUUAACAAGAGAUAAUAGUAAAACUAAUUUGCCUCUUCCUGAGAUGACAAUUGAUAUUUUAAAGGGUAACAAUAACUGUACAUUCCACACAAGUUACACUACUGCAAUAGUCCAUUAAUGCAAUAUCAAGUGAUUAUAAAAAGUAUCACAAGGAAACUGCGAUCAGGAAUACGGUGAAAAAAUGACAUAAUUCUGAUGUCUUUCAGAAUGUAGAUUCCAAUAAUCAAGCAGAAACAAAUGUAGGCUAGACUGCUACUCCAAUAUACAUAUAUACACAAAAACAAAUAAUCAACAUUCAGUUUUGCCAAUUUUAUUGAACCAAUAAAAUUCCUACUAAUAACAAUGAAAUAAAUUUCUGCAAGUAUAAAUGUGAUACAGUUUAACAAAACCCAUUGUUCUGUACCUAUAAAUAGAUUUUCAAAAUGUCAUAAAAAGUGCAGUUAUGAAUUGUUGUUAACAUGUUAAUACAGUUCCUUUAUUUCAAAUGUGUUUGUCUUGACUCACUAACAGUUCCUUCUGCAUCUGUUCAAAUAAUAUUACCCAUCCCUCCAAAAAAAAAAAAAAGUCCUUUAAGCACUAGAAUAUUACACAUAAACUGUUCCGUUCAGGUCAGCUUUAGUCAAUUUGUAAAA